Molecule: long non-coding RNA, 1609 nt
Organism: Felis catus (domestic cat)
Lineage: Eukaryota; Metazoa; Chordata; Mammalia; Carnivora; Felidae
Exons: 3
Source: RefSeq, a predicted model, not a curated record
CUUUCUCUCAAAAUAUAAAUAGAAAUAAACUGAAAUUUUUUUCUCACUAUUUUGGAGUCUGGGAAGUCUAAAAUCAAGAAGCCAGCAGAUUUUAUGUCUGAUAAGAGCCUGCUUUGUGGUUCAUAGAUGGCUGUUUUCUCACUGUGUCCUUUCAAUGUAGGAGGAGGCUGAAGAGCAAUCUGGGGUCUCUCUUAUGAGGAUGCUAAUCCCAUUCAGGAGGACUCCAUCUUCAUGACCUAAUCACCUCCCCCAAACCCUACCUCCUAAUACCAUCCAUUAGGGGAGAGGAUUUUAAUACAUAAAUGCAGUGGCUGCGGGGGUGGGGGGCUUGAGUGUAUAGCACUAUGGUGUAAGAACUAUUCUUUAUUGUGCUCACCCCUUCAGGUUUUGAUGCUUACUUCUUAUGGCUAUUGGUCCUUUUGAGCAGCCAUCAUUAUUUUAAUUAAUAUGAAUGAGAAGCAUUGGGGAAGCUGGUGGGGAAGGAGGAUGACUGUAAUUUAAUAGGAUGAUCAGAGUGGCCUUAAAGGUAGGACUGAGGCCUUCCAGCAAUAACAUAGUUGGUAUAUUCAAUAAUCACUGAAGGAUCUAGGGAUGGUCUUUGCGAUGUUUGAUUUUCUCUUUGCUCUUAGGAAAAUAAAAAUACUGAAUGGACAUAUCUUUGUUUACAUUUUUUUACAUAAUUAUUUCUUUUUAGGAAAAGAUGAAUCUGUAGAAGUGAAAUUCCAGAGUUUAAAGAUCUGCUCUUUGGGCAUGGUUUGGGGGGAGAGCUGAUCUCUUCUUCACUGAAUGUCAGCUGGGAAGUCUUAGCAGAGGCUAGAGGAUCUGGUUCACUCACCUGGCUGGCAUGUUGGUGCUUGCUCCUGACUGGGAUCUUAGUUGGGCCCAAGGGCCAAGGAGUUCAGUUUGUCUCCAUAUGGUCUGGGCUUUCUCCUAGCAUGGUGACUUGGUUCUCAGGGAGCCAAAGAACAGCAAAUUAAAUUCAAAUAAUGUACAAAGAAGAAAGCAAAGCAGAUAAGAGCAAGAAUUAAUGAUACAGAAAGCAACCUACAGCAGAGGGAGUGAAGAAAAUCAAUGGUGUCUUCUUGGAAGGAAAAAAAAAUUGACAAACUCCUGCAAAAAUUGAUAAGAAAUAAUGAGAGAAGGUAAACCCUCAAUAUCAGGUAUAAAAAGGAGCAUCCGUAUAGAUUGUCCAGGCAUUAAAAACUUGUAACAGCAUUAUUAAAAUAACUUUUUAAAUCCAAAUACAAUAAACACAUCCCUAGGAAAUACUAUUUGUAAAAAGUGACACAAGAAGAAAAAGAUACUUUAAUAGUUUAUAUAAACUAUAUAAAAUUCUAAAAUAGAAACUCUAAUUUGAAAACAUUCCUACAAAGAAAUUUCUAUUUCCACGUAGUUUUAUUAGUGACUUUUUCCAAAUAUGUAAGGAAGGCAUACUACUCAAAUGUGUAUAAACUCUAAUAAAAUGAAAGAGAACCCACUUAUGAACUUAUUUUAUAAAGUCUGAAUAACCUUGUAUAACAGCAUGAAAAUAUUAGAAUGAAGAAGACAAAAACGUCUCUCUCACAUAGAAAUAUCUAAAAUCCUAAACAAAAGCAGAUAAUUAGUGCAA